AAAAAGGGCCCAAAUAAGCAUUAUUCUUGGUUUUCGCACAAUAACAUUAGUUUAAGUAAAUAGAAAUCAAUGAAAUUUAAACACAAUGUUAAUGACUACAAAAGGAAGGUUGGUAUUGAUUUUGGGAGUUUAGGUCCCAACAGUUUAGGAAUUAGGGGCCAAAAAGGGACCCAAAUAAGCAUUUUUCUUGGUUUUCGCACCAUAACGUUAGUAUAAGUAAAUAGAAAUCUAUGAAAUUAAA
Molecule: long non-coding RNA, 241 nt
Filed under: Mytilus galloprovincialis (Mediterranean mussel)
Lineage: Eukaryota; Metazoa; Mollusca; Bivalvia; Mytilida; Mytilidae
Source: RNAcentral